This is a non-coding RNA of Paramuricea clavata, 4905 nucleotides long. Lineage: Eukaryota; Metazoa; Cnidaria; Anthozoa; Malacalcyonacea; Plexauridae. The record is from the annotation of a GenBank genome assembly.
AUUUUAUCAUGGCAGUCAAGAGACUUUACCAUUACCCAGGACGUAACAUGGUAGAACUGCAGAAGGGAUGGUGGUUCUUAACCUUGAGAGAUGCAUGGUAGAUGCAUUUGUAAGUCAAUUGAUUUGGAAACUUUGGUAACCAGAGAAUUUUAUCAUGGUAGUCAAGAGACUUAAACCAUUAUCCAGGACAUUGUGUAGUGUUACAAGAAUACAUGGUGGUUCUUAACCAUGAGAGAUGCAUAGUGCAUUUGUAAGUCAAUUGAUUCUGAAAUUUUGGUAACCAGAGGAUUUUAUCAUGGUAGUCAAGAGACUUUACCAUUAUCCAGGACACUGUGUGGUGUAACUGUAGAAUACAUGGUGGUUCUGAUAACCAUUAGAGAUGCAUGGUACAUUUGAUGCAGAAAAUUUUAUCAUGGUAGUCAAGAGACUUUGCCAUUAUCCAGGACAUUGUGGUAUAACUGUAGAAUACAUGGUGGUUCUUAACCAUGAGACUUGCAUGGUGCAUUUGUCAAGCAAUCGAUUCUGAAAUUUUUGUAACCAUAGAAUUUUAUCAUUGUAGUCAAGAGACUUUACCAUUAUCCAGGACAUUGUGGUAUAACUGUAGAUUACAUGGUGGUUCUUAACCAGGAGAGAUGCAUGGUGCAUUUGUGAAAUAAUUGAUUCUGACAUUUUGGUAACCAGAGAAUUUAUCAUGGCAGUCAAGAGACUUUACCAUUAUCCAGGGCACUGUGUUAUGUAACUGUAAAAUACAUAGUGGUUCUUAACCAUGAAAGAUGCAUGGUGCAUUUGUGAAGGAAUUGAUUCUGAAAUUUUGGUAACCAGAGAAUUUAUCAUGGCAGUCAAGAGACUUUACCAUUAUCCAGGGCACUGUGUUAUGUAACUGUAAAAUACAUGGUGGUUCUUAACCAUGAGAUAUGCAUGGUGCAUUUGUGAAGGAAUUGAUUCUGAAAUUUUGGUAACCAGAGAAUUUAUCAUGGCAGUCAAGAGACUUUACCAUUAUCCAGGACAUUGUGGUAUAACUGUAGAAUACAUGGUGGUUCUUAACCAUGAGAGAUGCAUGGUGCAUUUGUGAAGGAAUUGAUUCUGAAAUUUUGGUAACCAGAGAAUUUAUCAUGGCAGUCAAGAGACUUUACCAUCAUCCAGGACAUUGUGGUAUAACUGUAGAAUACAUGGUGGUUAAUUCUUAACCACAAGACAUCCAUGAGUCAAUUGAUUUUGAAAUUUUGGUAACCAGAGAGUUUUAUCAUGGUAGGCAAGAGACUUUACCAUUAUCCGGGACAUUGUGGUAUAACUGUAGAAUACAUGGUGGUUCUUAACCAUGAGAGAUGCAUGGUGCAUUUGUGAAGGAAUUGAUUCUGAAAUUUUGGUAACCAGAGAAUUUAUCAUGGCAGUCAAGAGACUUUACCAUUAUCCAGGGCACUGUGUUGUGUAACUGUAAAAUACAUGGUGGUUCUUAACCAUGAGAGAUACAUGGUGCAUUUGUCAAGGAAUUGAUUCUGAAAUUUUUGUAACCAGAGAAUUUAUCAUGGCAGUCAAGAGACUUUACCAUUAUCCAGGGCACUGUGUUAUGUAACUGUAAAAUACAUGGUGGUUCUUAACCAUGAGAGAUGCAUGGUGCAUUUGUGAAGGAAUUGAUUCUGAAAUUUUGGUAACCAGAGAAUUUAUCAUGGCAGUCAAGAGACUUUACCAUUAUCCAGGACAUUGUGGUAUAACUGUAGAAUACAUGGUGGUUCUUAACCAUGAGAGAUGCAUGGUGCAUUUGUGAAGGAAUUGAUUCUGAAAUUUUGGUAACCAGAGAAUUUUAUCAUGGUAGUCAAGAGACUAUACCAUUAUCCAGGACUUUGUGUGGUUUAACAAGAAUACAUGGUGGUGUUCUUAACCAUGAGAUAUGCACGGUGCAUUUGUGUGUCAAGUGAUUCUGAAAUUUUGGUCACCAGAGAAUUUUAUGAUGGUAAUUGGUAUUUUUGACAAAGUUACAAGGAAGUCAGUUGGUAGUUGUCAUCUGGUGAAUGGAUGUAGCUUAAUUCAAACCAGAAUGGACGUACGCUAAGGCCACAGUUGGAUGCAAAGCAAAUCUGGUUCGAAGAAGUUCUUAUAGCGUCCUGAAGGCAAUCUGGGUAUUUUCUAAUGCUUCAUAUUAAUUAUUUUUAAAAUGAAAGACAUUUCUGUGAAAUUGGAAAGCUUGCCCGAAACUUGUUUGGAAAUGUGGUUCAAAUCAAGAAUUUUUGGUAUGUGUAUAAAGUAGGAAAAUCCGAUCCUGGUCACGAGUCUGCUGCCGAAGACCUGAAAUCAAUAACUUACCAUCAGCAAAAUACAAAAAAAAAUCCAGAAACAAUUCGAUAAAAUUGUCUUUCUAUAAAAAUUUGAGACCACAUGUAUCCAAUUAGGAACCAUCAACAAAUAGAUUUCAUCUUGUCAAACAUAAUGGGGGCAGUGUGAUAGCAUGGAUAAUAAAAUAAAUGGAUAGGAGUCUAGCUGACGUAAGCAAAAACAACCUAGUUGCAAUCUGUGACGUCACACGUAUUGCAAAGUUCUCGGCAUUUUUGUUGUUUCGCUAUACUUUCCGCUUUAAAAGAGUAUUGAUAUUGAAGCAUAAACUGGUCUAAUUGUUUUAAAAACAUGCCUAAGCCACGACAAAGUAUUCAAGGUAAAUGUUUUUCGUCUUUGUUUUGUAUUUUUUUUACAUUUGUAGCUACGAAAAUGGCGUCCCCAAUUUUAACGAAAUUUGGGAUGCAUUUUACACUGUUUAGUGCUUGAAAUAUUUGGUAAAAUUGACUGGGAAUACUUAGAGAUUUCAUCGUAGAAUGGCGUAGUUAUAUUCAUUUGCUUUUUGACUCAAAUGUUUAGCUGUAUUAUUGCUAAACAUGCCGUUUUUAAGAAUUUGGUUUGCAACUAAGUUUCAACAUCCAACCACGCCAUCAGCUCAUUGAAAACAUUAGGUCACGUCAGCUAGUUUCCUAUCCAUUUAUUUUAUUAUCCAUGGUGAUAGUUAGUACUUUUCUGAGUGACAUAUUAUUAAAUUCAUGUCCACAAUCAGGGCUGGGUAGGGCUUAAGUAAUUGUCGAACGUGUCUGCAAAUUAUGCAGGAUGAAAUCUAUUUGACGACAUUCCCAAACACAGACUGAAGCAGAUCCAUAUUUACCAACAGAGCUCGAUGCACAACUGGACUAAUAUUUUGGAAUAUAUAACUUACAUAUGCAAUCACACACAGCACAUAUCUUGUAAGUGGUAUUAUAUGGGGUGCUAUUAUAUGGGGUGGUAUUAUAUGGGGUCGUAUUAUAUGGCGUGGUAUUAUAUGGCGUGGUAUUAUAUGGCGUGGUAUGAUAUGGGAUGGUAUUAUAUGGGGUGGUGUUAUAUGGGGUGGUAUUAUAUGGGGUGGUAUUAUAUGCGUUGAUAUGAUAUGGGGGUGGUAUGAUAUGGGGGUGGUAUGAUAUUGGGGUGGUAUGAUAUGGCGUGGUAUAUCGCGUGGUAUUAUAUCGCGUGGUAUUAUAUGGCAUGGUAUGAUAUGGCAUGGUAUUAUAUUGCGUGGUAUUAUAUGGGGUGGUAUGAUAUGGGGGUGGUAUGAUAUGGGGUGGUAUAAUAUUGGGGUGGUAUUAUAUGGGGUGGUAUUAUAUGGGGUGGUAUGAUAUGGCAUGGUAUUAUAUCGCGUGGUAUUAUAUGGCGUGGUAUUAUAUGGCUUGGUAUUAUAUGGCGUGGUAUUAUAUGGCAUGGUAUUAUAUGGCAUGGUAUUAUUUGGCGUGGUAUUAUAUGGCGUGAUAUUAUAUGGCAUGGUAUUAUAUGGCGUGGUAUUAUAUGUCAUGGUAUUAUAUAUGGAGUGGUAUUAUAUAUGGGGUGGUAUUAUAUGGCGUGGCAUUAUAUGGGGUGGUAUGAUAAUUGGGGUGGUAUUAUAUGGCGUAGUAUUAUAUGGCGUGGUGUUAUGUGGCGUGGUGUUAUAUGGCAUGGUGUUAAAUGGCAUGGUGUUAUAUGGCGUGGUAUUAUAUGGCGUGGUAUUAUAUAGGGUGGUAUUAUAUGGGGUGGUAUUAUAUGGGGUGGUAUUAUAUGGGGUGGUAUCAUAUGGGGUGGUAAUAUAUGGGGUGGUAAUAUAUGGGGUGGUAUGAUAUGGGGUGGCAUGAUAUUGGGGUGGCAUGAUAUUGGGGUGGUAUGAUAUUGGGUGGUAUGAUAUGGGGUGGUAUGAUAUGGGGUGGUAUGAUAUGGGGUGGUAUGAUAUGGGGUGGUAUGAUAUGGGGUGGUAUGAUAUGGGGUGGUAUUAUAUGGGGUGUUAUUAUAUGGCGUGGUAUUAUAUGGGGUGGUAUUAUAUAUGGAGUGGUAUUAUAUAUGGGGUGGUAUUGUAUGGUGUGGUAUUAUAUGGGGUGGUAUUAUAUGGGGUGGUAUUCUAUGGGGUGGUAUUAUAUGUGGUGGUAUGAUAAUUGGGGUGGUAUUAUAUGGCGUAGUAUUAUAUGGCGUGGUAUUAUAUGGCGUACGUGGUAUUAUAUGGAGUGGUAUUAUAUAUGGGAUGGUAUUAUAUAUGGCGUGAUAUUAUAUGGGGUGGUAUUAUAUAGGGUGGUAUGAUAAUUGGGGCAGCACAUGAGCGAGCGAAGCCAUGUUGCGGCUCGCACAACGCCUUCGAACGGGAUUUCGAUUGAGCAAAAAAAUGAAAAAAAACACAUUGAACUUUACCUCUGCUGGUUAGAGCGAUGUAGUCCUUCUUAAUUCUACAAAAAAAAGCAAAGAAAAAACGUUUUAGGACGAAAAACGAACAUUUUGGCGCGAACUUUUCACAAGCAAGAAUGUCCAAGACUUUCGCAAAAUUUUACCUUUGUGGUAUGAUAAUUGGGGUGGUAUGAUAAUUGGGGUGGUAUGAUAAUUGGGGUGGUAUUAUAUGGCAUGGUAUUAUAUGGCGUGGUAUUAUAUGGCGUGGUAUUAUAU